CAAUGGGCGAAAGCCUGACGGAGCAAUACCGCGUGAGGGAGGAAGGCUCUUGGGUUGUAAACCUCUUUUCUCAGGGAAGAAAAAAAUGACGGUACCUGAGGAAUAAGCAUCGGCUAACUCCGUGCCAGCAGCCGCGGUAAUACGGAGGAUGCAAGCGUUAUCCGGAAUGAUUGGGCGUAAAGCGUCCGCAGGUGGCGAUGAAAGUCUGCUGUUAAAGAGUGAGGCUCAACCUCAUAAAAGCAGUGGAAACUACAUAGCUAGAGUACGUUCGGGGCAGAGGGAAUUCCUGGUGUAGCGGUGAAAUGCGUA
Molecule: ribosomal RNA, 309 nt
Filed under: Aulosira sp. K58
Lineage: Bacteria; Bacillati; Cyanobacteriota; Cyanophyceae; Nostocales; Fortieaceae
Description: bacterial SSU rRNA
Rfam family: Bacterial small subunit ribosomal RNA
Source: RNAcentral